CCACUGCUACCGUCAAUCUCAAUCUCCCACUACCCAACUAUUUAAGCAGGCAAGGUAGCCAUGCUCAUCCUUUUUCCCCUCUCUUUCUCCUUUACUCAGAAAGGAAUCGAGUUCCCAAAAUUUCUUCAAACUGCCGUGGUCGUCGGCCGAUCUGUCGCUGCAGGCCACCGGUCGUCGUCUCCUCGCGCCACCAGACUCUUCCAGAGCCGGCAAUCAAUCCUUCCCCGAGGAGGUGCAUGAAGGGGAGGAAUUCUACGGUGCUAACGAGUUCAUGUUCUAGGUCGAUCUGCUCUCAAGCAUUGCCUGUGGUGUUUUUAUCCUAUUUUGUGUUUGGGUCUUUUGUUUGUAGGGAGUGUGUUUGGCCUGUUGGCCCCUAAAACCUGUCUUAGUUAUCUUUUAUGUAAUAAUUUCUGUAAAAACUUGGGUAUAUAUAUCGAAAGCUGUUCUGUUUAUCAA
Oryza sativa Japonica Group (Japanese rice) is the source of this 456-nucleotide non-coding RNA. The record is from RefSeq and is a predicted model, not a curated record. NCBI's taxonomy places the organism in Eukaryota, Viridiplantae, Streptophyta, Magnoliopsida, Poales, Poaceae.